GAGCCUCUUCUGCACCAGUGCCACCCCAGAGCCCAUGGAGGCUGAGCAUUCAGCACCGCCCGAAAAGCGCAAGUCGAAGCGCGUCCGCAUUUCUGUCACAGACCAGUACGAGCUGCCCGGCGAGAUGACCCCCGCUGAG
Non-coding RNA from Pelodiscus sinensis (Chinese soft-shelled turtle), 139 nucleotides. The record is from RefSeq and is a predicted model, not a curated record. NCBI's taxonomy places the organism in Eukaryota, Metazoa, Chordata, Testudines, Trionychidae.